Molecule: ribosomal RNA, 1427 nt
Filed under: uncultured marine bacterium
Lineage: Bacteria
Description: bacterial SSU rRNA
Rfam family: Bacterial small subunit ribosomal RNA
Source: RNAcentral
GAGUUUGAUCCUGGCUCAGAACGAACGCUGGCGGCAGGCCUAACACAUGCAAGUCGAGCGCUACCUUCGGGUGGAGCGGCGGACGGGUUAGUAACGCGUGGGAAUAUACCCAGUUCUAAGGAAUAGCCACUGGAAACGGUGAGUAAUACCUUAUACGCCCUUCGGGGGAAAGAUUUAUCGGAAUUGGAUUAGCCCGCGUUAGAUUAGAUAGUUGGUGGGGUAAUGGCCUACCAAGUCUACGAUCUAUAGCUGGUUUGAGAGGAUGAUCAGCAACACUGGGACUGAGACGCGGCCCAGACUCCUACGGGAGGCAGCAGUGGGGAAUCUUAGACAAUGGGCGCAAGCCUGAUCUAGCCAUGCCGCGUGAGUGAUGAAGGCCCUAGGGUCGUAAAGCUCUUUCAACUGUGAAGAUAAUGACGGUAGCAGUAGAAGAAACCCCGGCUAACUCCGUGCCAGCAGCCGCGGUAAUACGGAGGGGGUUAGCGUUGUUCGGAAUUACUGGGCGUAAAGCGUACGUAGGCGGAUUAAUAAGUUAGAGGUGAAAUCCCAGGGCUCAACCCUGGAACUGCCUUUAAAACUGUUAGUCUUGAGAUCGAGAGAGGUGAGUGGAAUUCCAAGUGUAGAGGUGAAAUUCGUAGAUAUUUGGAGGAACACCAGUGGCGAAGGCGGCUCACUGGCUCGAUACUGACGCUGAGGUACGAAAGUGUGGGGAGCAAACAGGAUUAGAUACCCUGGUAGUCCACACCGUAAACGAUGAAUGCCAGACGUCAGCAAGCAUGCUUGUUGGUGUCACACCUAACGGAUUAAGCAUUCCGCCUGGGGAGUACGGUCGCAAGAUUAAAACUCAAAGGAAUUGACGGGGGCCCGCACAAGCGGUGGAGCAUGUGGUUUAAUUCGACGCAACGCGCAGAACCUUACCAACCCUUGACAUACUUGUCGCGGAUUCCAGAGAUGGAUUCCUUCAGUUCGGCUGGACAAUGUACAGGUGCUGCAUGGCUGUCGUCAGCUCGUGUCGUGAGAUGUUCGGUUAAGUCCGGCAACGAGCGCAACCCACGUCCUUAGUUACCAGCAUUUAGUUGGGUACCCUAAGGAGACUGCCGGUGAUAAGCCGGAGGAAGGUGUGGACGACGUCAAGUCAUCAUGGCCCUUACGGGUUGGGCUACACACGUGCUACAAUGGCAUCUACAGUGAGUUAAUCUCCAAAAGAUGUCUCAGUUCGGAUUGGGGUCUGCAACUCGACCCCAUGAAGUUGGAAUCGCUAGUAAUCGCGGAACAGCAUGCCGCGGUGAAUACGUUCCCGGGCCUUGUACACACCGCCCGUCACACCAUGGGAAUUGGGUCUACCCGAAGGUGGUGCGCCAACUAUUUAUAGGGGCAGCCAACCACGGUAGGUUCAGUGACUGGGGUGAAGUCGUAACAAGGUAACC